UGCGGUAAUUCCAGCUCCAAUAGUGUAUAUUAAAGUUGCUGUGAUUAAAACGCUCGUAGUUGAAUUAAAAUGUGAUUUUAUACAUUUUGAAGACUUUACAUUAAGUGAAGUUUCUAGAAAUGUUAAAUUAAAAUCAAAGAAGGAGACAAUUCAAGUAAUUGAGUUGUCAUUACUUUGAAUAAAAUAAGGUGUUUAAAGCAAAACAUUAUGUUAAUGAAUAUUCAAGCAUGGGACAAUGCUGAGGAGAUGUCAAUUAGACAUUUCGAGAGAAGGAUUAAAAGGAACAAUUGGGGUGAUUCAGAAAAUAACGGGAGAGGUGAAAAUCCAUGAUCGCUAUAAGAUGCACGAGAGCGAAAGCAUUUCAC
RNAcentral lists this ribosomal RNA (365 nucleotides) under Entamoeba dispar. Its description in RNAcentral is "SSU rRNA". It matches the Rfam family "Eukaryotic small subunit ribosomal RNA", at positions 575 to 959 of the family's 1831-position model. The record is from RNAcentral. Lineage: Eukaryota; Evosea; Mastigamoebida; Endamoebidae.